Molecule: ribosomal RNA, 585 nt
Filed under: uncultured bacterium
Lineage: Bacteria
Description: bacterial SSU rRNA
Rfam family: Bacterial small subunit ribosomal RNA
Source: RNAcentral
CCUACGGGAGGCAGCAGUGGGGAAUUUUGGACAAUGGGCGAAAGCCUGAUCCAGCAAUGCCGCGUGAGUGAAGAAGGCCUUCGGGUUGUAAAGCUCUUUUGUCAGGGAAGAAACGGUGAGAGCUAAUAUCUCUUGCUAAUGACGGUACCUGAAGAAUAAGCACCGGCUAACUACGUGCCAGCAGCCGCGGUAAUACGUAGGGUGCAAGCGUUAAUCGGAAUUACUGGGCGUAAAGCGUGCGCAGGCGGUUUUGUAAGUCUGAUGUGAAAUCCCCGGGCUCAACCUGGGAAUUGCAUUGGAGACUGCAAGGCUAGAAUCUGGCAGAGGGGGGUAGAAUUCCACGUGUAGCAGUGAAAUGCGUAGAUAUGUGGAGGAACACCGAUGGCGAAGGCAGCCCCCUGGGUCAAGAUUGACGCUCAUGCACGAAAGCGUGGGGAGCAAACAGGAUUAGAUACCCUGGUAGUCCACGCCCUAAACGAUGUCUACUAGUUGUCGGGUCUUAAUUGACUUGGUAACGCAGCUAACGCGUGAAGUAGACCGCCUGGGGAGUACGGUCGCAAGAUUAAAACGCAAAUGAAAUUGACG